GCUGUCAACAAAGGCUUUGCAAAGGCAGGUCUUGAAGGAUUUACACAAACGGAUGGGCUCCUACAAACAGGAAAAUGUAAACCACGGUUCAACACAAACUCCUCCUGUAUCAAGGUUAAAUUAUUAGAUACCAGCAAGUACGGAUGGAGCCACAGACGGGUAACUAUGGAAACGCCAGGUACGGAAGGCACGCGGGGAGUGCCAGCGCUUACCUGUGGUGUUCUCCCGCAGCAGCUGGUGUAUGUAUCUUCCCAUAGCACGUGCGUUUGCUUUUAUCAGACAAUAAUUACGGAAUGAAAAAUGAAAACAAGUGCCUUAGUGAAGUAGGUCACAAAAGCAGUAUGUUCAGAACCUGAAAUCAACAAUUAAAAAACAAAUGCUAUCAUAGAAAAAGAAUUUCCCGAA
Non-coding RNA from Microcebus murinus (gray mouse lemur), 405 nucleotides. The record is from RefSeq and is a predicted model, not a curated record. NCBI's taxonomy places the organism in Eukaryota, Metazoa, Chordata, Mammalia, Primates, Cheirogaleidae.